This 199-nucleotide ribosomal RNA is filed under the name uncultured bacterium. RNAcentral's name for it is "partial 16S ribosomal RNA". It matches the Rfam family "Bacterial small subunit ribosomal RNA", at positions 328 to 539 of the family's 1533-position model. The record is from RNAcentral.
ACGCUCGACACCUACGGGAGGCAGCAGGUGGGGAAUAUUGCACAAUGGAGGAAACUCUGAUGCAGCGAUGCCGCGUGAGGGAAGAAGGUUUUCGGAUUGUAAACCUCUGUCUUUGGGGACGAUAAUGACGGUACCCAAGGAGGAAGCUCCGGCUAACUACGUGCCAGUAGCCGCGGUAAUCUGAGCGGGCUGGCAAGGC